This 895-nucleotide ribosomal RNA is filed under the name Triticum aestivum (bread wheat). Its description in RNAcentral is "partial small subunit ribosomal RNA". Lineage: Eukaryota; Viridiplantae; Streptophyta; Magnoliopsida; Poales; Poaceae. The record is from RNAcentral.
AUGGAUGUAUUUAGAUGUAUUUUAGUUCUAGAUACAUCCAUUUUCAUCAAUUUUGAUGACAAGUAUUUUCGGACGGAGGGAGUAAAAAAAAGAACAGGCUUCAGCAACAAAUCCAGCAUGUAUUGUAUAUUGCCGAUCGAGGGCAGGGACACGAGCACAGAGGAAGAGAAGUCGGGAGAAAAUAAGAUCGCCAACUCUCUACGGCUAAACCAAGAACAAACGACUUCUCCGAUCACCAAAUCUUGGCGUGGACGGCAACAUCCUGUCCGGCGUCGCCGCCGUCGGCCUCGUCCCCGGCGAUCUGGUCGAGCACGAGGACGAUCCCCAUGGCGAAGGCCGCAUCGAAGCCGGCGCCCACCCGCAGCACGAACACGUCCCUGCCCAUCACCACCCGUGCCGCCUCGUCCACCUUCCUCCUGAUCUCGGCCACCACCGUCUCCUCCCCGUCCUCGCCCUUGGCCACCACGCGGCAGCAGCGCCGUCCGAAGGAGCCCUCGAUGCGGAGCUCGGCGGCAGCGGCGGAGGCGGGGGAAGGGAGGAGCUCGACGACGGCGCCGCGCCCGGCGCCGCCGAGAAUGGAGGACCUACGGGCGGAGAAGAGGGACUUCUGGCCGUCGGCGCGGGCGCCGAGGAAGCCCUCCCAGCGCUGGUGCAGGGACGGGCGGCGGCGGCGCACGGUGAGGAGGGGCUCGCCGGCGGGGCCGAGGAGAGCCAGCUCGCCCGGGGACGCAGCGCCCCCUCCGUGGCCGCGGCCGUAGGUGUCGGCGCGGAAGGCGAGGCCGCCGGUGCGGUUGUCGUAGGCCGCGAAGCCGUCGCCGGGGGAGAAGUGGGAGGUCUUGCGCACCGUGAGCAGCCGCUCCUUGAGGUCGCAGUACUCCUCGCCCACGACCGCCAU